Molecule: small nuclear RNA, 309 nt
Filed under: Heterocephalus glaber (naked mole-rat)
Lineage: Eukaryota; Metazoa; Chordata; Mammalia; Rodentia; Bathyergidae
Description: 7SK RNA
Rfam family: 7SK RNA
About the family: 7SK was discovered as an abundant small nuclear RNA in the mid-70s but a possible function has only recently been suggested.
Source: Rfam by way of RNAcentral
GGAUGUGAGGGCGAUCUGGCUGCGACAUCUGUCACCCCACUGAUCGCCAGGGUGGAUUCGGCUGAUCCUGGCCAGGCAGGUGUCCCCUUCCUCCCUCACCACUCCAUGUACGUCCCUCCCGAAGCUGCGCGCUCGGUCGAAGAGGACGACCACCCCCGAUAGAGGAGGACCGUUUCCUCGGUCAAGGGUAUACGAGUAGCUGCGCUCCCCUGCUAGAACCUCCAAACAAGCUCUCAAGGAAUGCCAAGUAUUAACUUUGUGCACAUAUCUUUAUUUGUAUUUGAGAUUAUGUCCCAAGGACAGACUCUC